CCUACGGGAGGCAGCAGUGGGGAAUAUUGGGCAAUGGGCGCAAGCCUGACCCAGCAACGCCGCGUGAAGGAAGAAGGCUUUCGGGUUGUAAACUUCUUUUCUCAGGGACGAAGCAAGUGACGGUACCUGAGGAAUAAGCCACGGCUAACUACGUGCCAGCAGCCGCGGUAAUACGUAGGUGGCAAGCGUUAUCCGGAUUUACUGGGUGUAAAGGGCGUGUAGGCGGGAAAGCAAGUCAGAUGUGAAAACCAUGGGCUCAACCUGUGGCCUGCAUUUGAAACUGUUUUUCUUGAGUACUGGGGAGGCAGACGGAAUGCCUAGUGUAGCGGUGAAAUGCGUAGAUAUUAGGAGGAACACCAGUGGCGAAGGCGGUCUGCUGGACAGCAACUGACGCUGGGGCGCGAAAGCGUGGGGAGCAAACAGGAUUAGAUACCCCGGUAGUC
Molecule: ribosomal RNA, 443 nt
Filed under: uncultured bacterium
Lineage: Bacteria
Description: partial 16S ribosomal RNA
Rfam family: Bacterial small subunit ribosomal RNA
Source: RNAcentral